UCGAGAAUUUUUCUCAAUGGGGGAAACCCUGAAGGAGCGACGCCGCGUGGAGGAUGAAGGUCUUCGGAUUGUAAACUCCUGUCAUUGGUGAACAAAAAGUGUGGUUUAACUGGCCAUGCUUCGAUAGUAGCCGAAGAGGAAGGGACGGCAAACUCUGUGCCAGCAGCCGCGGUAAUACAGAGGUCCCAAGCGUUGUUCGGAUUUAUUGGGCGUAAAGGGAGCGUAGGCGGCGGGGUAAGUCAGGUGUUAAAAUUCGAAGCUCAACUUCGAAGCGCAUUUGAUACUGCUCUGCUAGAGGAGUGGAGAGGAGACAGGAAUUCACGGUGUAGCAGUGAAAUGCGUAGAUAUCGUGAGGAAGACCCAUGGCGAAAGCAUGUCUCUGGAAACUACCUGACGCUGAUGCUCGAAGGCCAGGGGAGCAAACGGGAUUAGAUACCCCUGUAGUCC
RNAcentral lists this ribosomal RNA (447 nucleotides) under uncultured bacterium. RNAcentral's name for it is "bacterial SSU rRNA". It matches the Rfam family "Bacterial small subunit ribosomal RNA", at positions 355 to 796 of the family's 1533-position model. The record is from RNAcentral.